This 2828-nucleotide ribosomal RNA is filed under the name Lutimaribacter pacificus. Its description in RNAcentral is "bacterial LSU rRNA". The stretch from base 1 to 1557 matches the Rfam family "Bacterial large subunit ribosomal RNA", at positions 1241 to 2925 of the family's 2925-position model. Lineage: Bacteria; Pseudomonadati; Pseudomonadota; Alphaproteobacteria; Rhodobacterales; Roseobacteraceae. The record is from RNAcentral.
GUCUUUUCUGUGAAGCCGGGGCGUGAGCCAUCCGGUGGAGAGAUCACUAGCGAGAAUGAUGACAUGAGUAGCGACAAAGAGUGUGAGAGACACUCUCGCCGAAAGUCCAAGGGUUCCUGCUUAAAGCUAAUCUGAGCAGGGUAAGCCGGCCCCUAAGCCGAGGCAGAAAUGCGUAGGCGAUGGGAACCAGGUUAAUAUUCCUGGGCCAGGAGAUGGUGACGGAUUGCAGGGGUAGUCAGGCCUUAUCGGAUUGGUCUGGCUGCUGAGCAGUUCCUGGAAAUAGCCCUCCACAGGACCGUACCCUAAACCGACACAGGUGGACUGGUAGAGAAUACCAAGGCGCUUGAGAGAACGAUGUUGAAGGAACUCGGCAAAAUACCUCCGUAAGUUCGCGAGAAGGAGGCCCGGUUUCCAGGCAACUGGAGGCUGGGGGCACAAACCAGGGGGUGGCGACUGUUUACUAAAAACACAGGGCUCUGCGAAGUCGCAAGACGACGUAUAGGGUCUGACGCCUGCCCGGUGCCGGAAGGUUAAAAGGAGGGGUGAGAGCUCCGAAUUGAAGCCCCGGUAAACGGCGGCCGUAACUAUAACGGUCCUAAGGUAGCGAAAUUCCUUGUCGGGUAAGUUCCGACCUGCACGAAUGGCGUAACGACUUCCCCGCUGUCUCCAACAUCGACUCAGCGAAAUUGAAUUGCCUGUCAAGAUGCAGGCUUCCCGCGGUUAGACGGAAAGACCCCGUGCACCUUUACUACAGCUUCGCACUGGCAUCAGGCCAUGCAUGUGCAGGAUAGGUGGUGGGCUUCGAAGCAGGGACGCCAGUUCCUGUGGAGCCUCCCUUGAGAUACCACCCUUGCAUUGCUUGAUGUCUAACCGCGGUCCGUUACCCGGAUCCGGGACCCUGCGUGGCGGGUAGUUUGACUGGGGCGGUCGCCUCCUAAAGAGUAACGGAGGCGCGCGAAGGUUGGCUCAGAGCGGUCGGAAAUCGCUCGUUGAGUGCAAUGGCAGAAGCCAGCCUGACUGCAAGACUGACAAGUCGAGCAGAGACGAAAGUCGGCCAUAGUGAUCCGGUGGUCCCGCGUGGAAGGGCCAUCGCUCAACGGAUAAAAGGUACGCCGGGGAUAACAGGCUGAUACUGCCCAAGAGUCCAUAUCGACGGCAGUGUUUGGCACCUCGAUGUCGGCUCAUCUCAUCCUGGGGCUGGAGCAGGUCCCAAGGGUACGGCUGUUCGCCGUUUAAAGAGGUACGUGAGCUGGGUUUAGAACGUCGUGAGACAGUUCGGUCCCUAUCUGCCGUGGGUGUAGGAUACUUGAGAGGAGUUGCCCCUAGUACGAGAGGACCGGGGUGAACGAUCCACUGGUGGACCUGUUGUCGUGCCAACGGCAGUGCAGGGUAGCUAUGAUCGGAAAGGAUAACCGCUGAAGGCAUCUAAGCGGGAAGCCCCCCUCAAAACAAGGUAUCCCCGAGGGCCGUGGAAGACCACCACGUCGAUAGGCCGGAGGUGUAAGCGCAGCAAUGCGUUCAGCUGACCGGUACUAAUGGCCCGACAGGCUUGAUUUGAAAUCAAGCGCGAGAAGGGCGUUUGGUGAAUGCCUUGGCAGCAAGAGGCGAUGAAGGACGUGAUACUCUGCGAUAAGCUUGGGGGAGCCGAGAAUAGGCUUUGAUCCCAGGAUCUCCGAAUGGGGCAACCCACCUGAAUGUUUAUUGUUGUCCUGCCACUUCGUUACUUGAGGACCUGUGUCCGAGAGAGCGUGUGGUGGGUUCAUCAAUAAGCAGAAACAGGUACUUCUUACCUGAAUACAUAGGGUUUGAAGAGCGAACCCGGGGAACUGAAACAUCUAAGUACCCGGAGGAAAGGACAUCAACAGAUACUCCCCUAGUAGCGGCGAGCGAACGGGGACCAGCCGAGCCGUGAAUGUGACCAGAACAAUCUGGAAAGGUUGACCAUAGUGGGUGACAGUCCCGUAUGGGAAGCAUGAUCGGACGUAUUAAGUAGGGCGGGACACGUGAAAUCCUGUCUGAAGAUCGGGGGACCACCCUCGAAGGCUAAGUACUCCUUGCUGACCGAUAGCGAACCAGUACCGUGAGGGAAAGGUGAAAAGCACCCCGACGAGGGGAGUGAAACAGUACCUGAAACCGAACGCCUACAAUCAGUCGGAGCCCCCUUGCGGGGUGACGGCGUACCUUUUGUAUAAUGGGUCAUCGACUUGGUCUCACGAGCAAGCUUAAGCCGAUAGGUGUAGGCGCAGCGAAAGCGAGUCUUAAUAGGGCGUAUGAGUUCGUGGGAUCAGACCCGAAACCGAGUGAUCUAGGCAUGGCCAGGCUGAAGGUUGGGUAACACCAACUGGAGGGCCGAACCCACAUCCGUUGAAAAGGAUCGGGAUGAGCUGUGCCUAGGGGUGAAAGGCCAAUCAAACUCGGAGAUAGCUGGUUCUCCGCGAAAUCUAUUUAGGUAGAGCGUCAUCCGAAUACCCCGGGGGGUAGAGCACUGGAUGGGUAAUGGGGCCCCACAGGCUUACUGAUCCUAACCAAACUCCGAAUACCCGGGAGUACUAGAUGGCAGACACACGGCGGAUGCUAACGUCCGUCGUGGAGAGGGAAACAACCCUGACCCUCAGCUAAGGCCCCCAAUUCAUGGCUAAGUGGGAAAGCAGGUGAGACGGCCAAAACAACCAGGAGGUUGGCUUAGAAGCAGCCAUCCUUUAAAGAUAGCGUAACAGCUCACUGGUCUAAAUAAGCUGUCUUGCGGCGAAGAUGUAACGGGGCUCAAGCCAUGAGCCGAAGCUAGGGAUGCACAUAGUGCAUGGUAGCGGAGCGUAGUGUGACAUAGA